Small nuclear RNA from Rhincodon typus (whale shark), 141 nucleotides. RefSeq annotates it as U4 spliceosomal RNA. The transcript has a single exon. The record is from RefSeq and is a predicted model, not a curated record. NCBI's taxonomy places the organism in Eukaryota, Metazoa, Chordata, Chondrichthyes, Orectolobiformes, Rhincodontidae.
AGCUUUGCUCAGUGGCAGUAUCGUAGAUAAUGAGGUUUAUUCGAUGCACGAUUGUCGCUUAUUGAAAUCUAUACCCAGUAGCCAGUUAUGCUGAUUUUGAAUCCACUCAGUGAAAACAAUUUUUGAUGGUCUCUGUUGAGA